UGAGUACGAGACGCUACGGCGUUGAAGCAGUGUAUGUCAGACUUCCAAGAAAAGCUCGCAAUGUCGUAAAUAAAUAAUGCCUGUACCAUAACCGACACAGGUGGGUAGGUAGAGUAUACUAAGGGGCGCGAGAUAACUCUCUCUAAGGAACUCGGCAAAAUGACUCCGUAACUUCGGGAGAAGGAGUGCCUUUUUUAAGGUUGCAAUAACAAGAUCCAAGCAACUGUUUAUCAAAAACACAGGUCUCCGCUAAGUCGAAAGACGAUGUAUGGGGGCUGACGCCUGCCCAGUGCCAGAAGGUUAAAGAAGUUGGUUAGCACUAGCGAAUCUGAUAACUGAAGCCCUAGUGAACGGCGGCCGUAACUAUAACGGUCCUAAGGUAGCGAAAUUCCUUGUCGGGUAAGUUCCGACCCGCACGAAAGGCGUAAUGAUUUGGAUACUGUCUCAGAGAGGGGCUCGGUGAAAUAGACUCGUCUGUGAAGAUGCGGACUACCUGCACCAGGACAGAAAGACCCUAUGAAGCUUUACUGUAACUUGAAAUUGAAAUUGGACUUUACUUGCGCAGUAUAGGUGGGAGGCGUUGAUAAUACUCUUGCGGGAGGAUUGGAGCCAUCAGUGAGAUACCACUCUUGUAAUGUUAGAUUUCUAACUUUGUAUCAUUAUCUGGUCAAAGGACAGUUUCAGGCGGGCAGUUUGACUGGGGCGGUCGCCUCCUAAACGGUAACGGAGGCGUACAAAGGUUUCCUCUGAACGGGUAGAAAUCGUAUCUAGAGUGUAAAGGCAUAAGGAAGCUUGACUGUGAGACCUACAAGUCGAGCAGGGACGAAAGUCGGUCUUAGUGAUCUGACGGUGCUGAGUGGAAAGGCCGUCACUCAACGGAUAAAAGUUACUCUAAGGAUAACAGGCUGAUCUCCCCCAAGAGUUCACAUCGACGGGGAGGUUUGGCACCUUGAUGUCGGCUCAUCGCAUCCUGGGGCGGUAGUACGUCCCAAGGGUUGGGCUGUUCGCCCAUGAAAGCGGUACGCGAGCUGGGUUCAGAACGUCGUGAGACAGUUCGGUCCAUAUCCGGUGUAGGCGUUAGAAUAUUGAGAGGAGCCUUCUUUAGUACGAGAGGACCGAGAAGGACAUACCUCUGGUGUACCAGUUAUCGUGCCAACGGGAAACGCUGGGUAGCUAUGUAUGGAGAGGAUAACCGCUGAAAGCAUCUAAGUGGGAAGCCCACCUCAAGAUAAG
This 1233-nucleotide ribosomal RNA is filed under the name metagenome. Its description in RNAcentral is "bacterial LSU rRNA". It matches the Rfam family "Bacterial large subunit ribosomal RNA", at positions 1564 to 2808 of the family's 2925-position model. The record is from RNAcentral.